CAUUUGUCCAACUGCCUGGCCUUGGCACCCUGGUAGGAAUCUUUGUUGACCACCACCAUCACCACAACGAAGGUACCGAAAGGGGGAAAAGGGGAAGCUGUGGGAUCCUUAAUGUAGAGAAUAGGAAUGACGAUGAAGAAUCCUAUGCCAGCAGGCUUUCUGCAAUUCAUCCUAAUGGCUUGUUUUGGGUUUGUCACAAUUUAAUGAGAAAUCCCACUUUGAGAAGACUCCAGAUGAGAAAUGUUUAACCCCUACAAGAUUUCCUGCCCAAUGGCAAGAGUGGAAGAAGAGACUUCUCUCUAUUUUUUUUUCGCAUCAAGGUCUCUGUAAUUCAUGCCAAUUGCUUCUCCCAAACUUUGUGUCUUUUCCCUUGAGAAGCAAAGCACAUACAUGUUUUAAUCUAUGAAUUUUAUGCAUUUUAACUUGUUUCAAUUUGAAAUCGCUUUAAAGGCUUCGGGUUUUUAAAUUGUCUUAUAUGGCUCUGUAAUCUCUAGAUGGCUCUUUCCAUAUAGGGCAUGCUAUAAAUGGUUUAAAUAAAAUAAAAUAAUAAAAUAAUAAUAAUAAAGCA
This 568-nucleotide long non-coding RNA is filed under the name Pogona vitticeps (central bearded dragon). RNAcentral's name for it is "lncRNA (ENSPVIG00000025389.1)". The record is from RNAcentral. Lineage: Eukaryota; Metazoa; Chordata; Lepidosauria; Squamata; Agamidae.